This 235-nucleotide long non-coding RNA is filed under the name Nicotiana benthamiana. Its description in RNAcentral is "long non-coding RNA (NBEN_LNC001008)". Lineage: Eukaryota; Viridiplantae; Streptophyta; Magnoliopsida; Solanales; Solanaceae. The record is from RNAcentral.
AUUUCCAAACAGUGCAAAAUUCAAGAAUCCAAAGACCCAAUUUUGCAGGAACUCAAUCUACAUUUAUAAUAAGUUAAAUACCAAAAUCUUAGGAUUUGGGAAAAAGGGUCGUCUGUAUAUAUGCCGUAGUUCACUAAACUUUCAAAAUCAAGAAGACCCAAUUAUGAAAAAUGAUACAGAUGUUUCUGCUGAGGUAAGUGGUGGAAGCAAUAAUGGAGGAAGUGGAGGAGACCAA